Hemicordylus capensis (graceful crag lizard) is the source of this 1656-nucleotide long non-coding RNA. RefSeq lists it as uncharacterized. The transcript has 4 exons. Lineage: Eukaryota; Metazoa; Chordata; Lepidosauria; Squamata; Cordylidae. The record is from RefSeq and is a predicted model, not a curated record.
CCUGCCGCAGAGCCAUUAGUCCCGCUACGUACCCUGACGAGGGUGAGAUGCGCGUCCGCCCACUCGGAGAGGCGCGCGAUAUAGUUCGCCGGCUCUCUGCCGGGCUGGCCCGCCAUGGCAGCCGCGGCUCCUCCGCUCGCGCCUCCGUCGUCCGCACCAGGCCGCAGCGCCGCCUGCUGGUCGCCUGUGGGGGUUGCAUUGCCUGAUUGCCUCUCGCUCUGUUUCAAAGGAGCAGCAGCGCUUCCCCCGCCCGCUCCCCCUGCUGCUGCUGCCGCCGCCUUUUAUUCUUUGACAUAACAGGCCAACCCAACACCCACCACUGCAACAAGCACUUCAAAAGGGAAUGAGAAGCCGAGGUAGCUUGUUUACAUGGCAGCGUGGAUUAAGCAUCCUUGCUGCCCUUAUACUUUUUCUUGCACGAAGAUUAUCUCUACACAGUAGCGCCGUAAGAAGCUCUGAAGGGGCCUGUGUCUGCAAGAGCCGGAGCGUGAGGAGCUCAGCUGCCUUAUACUGAGUCGGGCUAUUGGUCCAUCUAGCUAAGAACUGCCUACACAGACUGGCAGCGGCUGGCUUCUCCAAGGUUACACACCAGAGUAUCUCCCAGUAUCUCUGCCAGUGGCACUUUUACCCCUGGACUUUGGGGCCGAAGUCCAGGGCCUCUCCAUACCCCCUGGGGGCUCCCAAAUCCUCCUUUUUCUGCCUGGGGAAUUUGUAACUACAGGAGGCAGUUUGAAACUGAGCAGUCCAGCAGAUGUGUAUUUCAGCAACUCUUAGAUGCCAAAAUCUUUCGCUUCCUUUCUUUAUUUGGCUCUGUAAAUAAGCUUUGUCAAGGCUUAAUUCUAGAGACAGUAAGGGAAAAGAUACUACAUUGCCUGGAGAAGAAGCUUCACCCUGGAAAUACAUCAACUUGAAAAGGAAACUACAGACAAAUGAACAACAAUAAGACAACCUUCAUUUUGUGAAUCAUCAGGAAAAGCAAACAAAAACAAAAACCCAUAGAUUUCUUCACGUUUAAGAAAAUCACCUCAUAACAAAAAUCAUGACACAAUGUGUAAAGUAUAAAAGAUCACAGGUGGUCACCACUAACAUGGAGAGAAGUCCUUUCUUGCCAAAGAAAAUGGCUACUUGGUUUCUUUUCUGGCCCAGUGGCCUUUUCAAACCAAUCACAGAAGACAUCAAUCAUGAUUAAACAUUGAUCUGACCAUUUUGACUACUGUUUUGCAGACUGAAAGGUAAUUUUCCAGUUUACAAGGAACUGCAAUCUAUCUGUUCUCUCAAGAGAAAGAGAUACUUCUCCAAGGCAGGACAUGAAUGUGUCAGGUGGGAAGGAGCAUUCAUCAAAGUCUUUAAGUUCCAUUAACUGGUUCUCCUGCAUUUCCAUGAAGAUGAUCUCUCGUCCUGCAGCUUUUUGAGUUUUGGUCCAAGGAAGAGCCACCAAGCAAAUCCCAAAGCAACACAUACAAUGGACUCCACGUAAUAACCAUCAAGGGUAAUGACGCAAGAGCCACCUGCUUUUGUACACAGCUGCGAGAAAGGAGAAGAAAAAGUGUUAUAUUCACAUACACACACACCUCAAGUUAAAAGUACAUUGAGCAUUAUGGAUGAACAAGCUGCAUUUAAUGUAAGAGUCAUUAUAUUAAAAAUACGUUUUCCUGA